Molecule: ribosomal RNA, 468 nt
Filed under: uncultured bacterium
Lineage: Bacteria
Description: partial 16S ribosomal RNA
Rfam family: Bacterial small subunit ribosomal RNA
Source: RNAcentral
GACGAACGCUGGCGGCGUGCUUAACACAUGCAAGUCGAACGGAAAGGCCCUGCUUUUGUGGGGUGCUCGAGUGGCGAACGGGUGAGUAACACGUGAGUAACCUGCCCUUGACUUUGGGAUAACUUCAGGAAACUGGGGCUAAUACCGGAUAGGAGCUCCUGCUGCAUGGUGGGGGUUGGAAAGUUUCGGCGGUUGGGGAUGGACUCGCGGCUUAUCAGCUUGUUGGUGGGGUAGUGGCUUACCAAGGCUUUGACGGGUAGCCGGCCUGAGAGGGUGACCGGCCACAUUGGGACUGAGAUACGGCCCAGACUGCUACGGGAGGCAGCAGUGGGGAAUAUUGCACAAUGGGCGGAAGCCGGAUGCAGCAACGCCGCGUGCGGGAUGACGGCCUUCGGGUUGUAAACCGCUUUCGCCUGUGACGAAGCGUGAGUGACGGUAACGGGUAAAGAAGCACCGGCUAACUACGUG